Camelina sativa (false flax) is the source of this 1811-nucleotide non-coding RNA. The record is from RefSeq and is a predicted model, not a curated record. Lineage: Eukaryota; Viridiplantae; Streptophyta; Magnoliopsida; Brassicales; Brassicaceae.
GCGGUCGUUAAUUUUUUUUAUCACAAAUACUAAUGGUCGCAAAACGGGCACUAAUUUGCGACCACUUGUUGACGCUAAAUAACGUCGUAUAUAAGCGACCAAUUUGCAACAUUUAUGUUCGCUGACAGAGACUGCUUGGAUGUCAAAUACGGGUUGAAAAUCCUUGAAAACAGAUCUCUCAUAGAAAUAGAGAUAUCUAGAUAUGGGGAUCGAAUAGCGAUGCACAAGUUACUGCAACAAGUUGGUAGAAAUAUCGCUCAUAAAGAAGAACCUUGGAAACAAUGGAUCUUAACAGAUGCUCCAGAGAUUUGUGAUGUCCUCGAACAUGACACAGGUACUAGAGCUAUGUCCGGCAUAUCAUUUGAUAUAUCUGAUAUUGAUGAAGUAUAUCUAUAAGAAAAGAAGCUUUUAAAAGAAUGCCUAAUCUUCGAUUCCUCAAAGUCUACAAAAGUAGAGAUGAUGGGAAUGAUAUAAUGCAUGUACCUGAUGGGAUAGAGUUUCCGCGUCGUCUAAGGUUACUAAAUUGGGAGGAGUACCCAAGCAAGAGUCUUCCUCCGACAUUUAAUACAGAACAUCUUGUCGGACUCUAUUUGCGAGAAAGCCAACUUGAGAAGCUAUGGGAAGGAAUCGAGGUUGGUGUUGUGCUAUAAAUAUAUGAAUAUAUAUGUCAUUUUCUCUUCAAGUAUGCUCAUUCUCUCUCUCUCUCUCUCUCUCUUAGUGCCUUAAGAAUCUCAAGGAGAUGGAUCUGUCUAAGUCUAAGAAUUUGAAGGAACUCCCGGAUGUUUCAAAUGCUACGAAUAUAGAGAGAUUGUUACUGAAGGAUUGCAAGAGUUUGGUAGAGAUCCCAUCAUCGUUUUCACAUCUUCAUAAACUAGAGAGGUUGGAUACAAGUGGAUGCAUAAACCUACAAGUCAUUCCAGCUCAGAUGAACUUGGCAUCCCUUGAAUGGGUCCAUAUGAGAGGAUGCUCAAGAUUGAGAAAAUUUCCAAUUAUUUCAACGCACAUCAAAGAUCUGAUUGUAUCAAACAACACAAAGUUAGAAAAUGUGUCGGCAUCAAUUGCCUCGUGUUGUCGUCUUCAGACUCUCGAUAUGAGCUACGGUGACAAGCUCAAGGGAAUAACACAUCUCCCUACUAGUUUAACAAAUAUGUCGCAUCAACGGCAAGGACAAGAAGUUGAUCAUAGAUUCAUAGGCGAUGCCUCCAAAUUUUGAAGGGAACAUCUAGUUAUAUUUCACUCCUUGUCCUUGCCAUUACGUAUCGACCCCUCUGAAGCAUGCAGAGAGAUGGUGGUGGUAUUCGAAUUCAGCAGCAAAUACCGACUAGACUUCGACAUUAUUGAAUGUGGUGUCAAGAUCUUGACCCCACAAAACAUCAAAAGGGAUUACGACCUAGUGUUUGAAGACGACGACAAUGACGUACAAAUGGAGUAAUAAGUGACUCCGAAGAUAAUGUCGUCUAGAUCUUGACGGACGAAACCGACGGAAGCAACAAUGGAGGAUCUGGCAAUAGCCACACGUGUUCACCAGAAUCUGAAUCUGAGGAAGAAGACGACGAUGACGAGGGCUACAAAGAAAAUGUUUUUAGCUAAAUAAUUUGGCAUGUAACUAAGCUAAUCGAAGAAAAUGUUUCCUCUUGUUUAGUUCUAGCCUACAGUAUAUAGUUAGUGUUUUACUAAACGUACCCUGCGUUCAAUAAAGAAAAUUAACGCAAGCAUUUAUUGUAAUAAUAGUAAAACUCAUAAGCAGAGGCAAAACAAUCUGUGAUUGUUUUAAUAUAAUCCCACUGCUAAUUUCAGUAGCUAAAAUAAAA